Molecule: ribosomal RNA, 433 nt
Filed under: uncultured bacterium
Lineage: Bacteria
Description: partial 16S ribosomal RNA
Rfam family: Bacterial small subunit ribosomal RNA
Source: RNAcentral
AACGAACGCUGGCGGCAUGCCUAACACAUGCAAGUCGAAAGAGACCUUCGGGUCUAGUGGCGCACGGGUGCGUAACGCGUGGGAACCUGCCCUUAGGUUCGGAAUAACUCCCCGAAAGGGGUGCUAAUACCGGAUAAUGUCUUCGGACCAAAGAUUUAUCGCCUUUGGAUGGGCCCGAGUUGGAUUAGCUAGUUGGUAGGGUAAAAGCCUACCAAGGCGACGAUCCAUAGCUGGUCUGAGAGGAUGAUCAGCCACACUGGGACUGAGACACGGCCCAGACUCCUACGGGAGGCAGCAGUGGGGAAUAUUGGACAAUGGGCGAAAGCCUGAUCCAGCAAUGCCGCGUGAGUGAUGAAGGCCUUAGGGUUGUAAAGCUCUUUUACCCGGGAUGAUAAUGACAGUACCGGGAGAAUAAGCUCCGGCUAACUCCGUG